Molecule: ribosomal RNA, 93 nt
Filed under: Klebsiella pneumoniae
Lineage: Bacteria; Pseudomonadati; Pseudomonadota; Gammaproteobacteria; Enterobacterales; Enterobacteriaceae
Also listed under: 1 other name
Source: RNAcentral
GGUCCCACCUGACCCCAUGCCGAACUCAGAAGUGAAACGCCGUAGCGCCGAUGGUAGUGUGGGGUCUCCCCAUGUGAGAGUAGGGAACUGCCA